This 479-nucleotide ribosomal RNA is filed under the name uncultured bacterium. Its description in RNAcentral is "partial 16S ribosomal RNA". It matches the Rfam family "Bacterial small subunit ribosomal RNA", at positions 28 to 507 of the family's 1533-position model. The record is from RNAcentral.
GACGAACGCUGGCGGCGCGCUUAACACAUGCAAGUCGAGCGAUGAAAUUUCGACAGAUCCCUUCGGGGUGAAGAUGAAAUGGAUUAGCGGCGGACGGGUGAGUAACACGUGAGUAACCUGCCUUUGACAUUGGGAUAGCCUCGGGAAACUGGGAUUAAUACCAAAUGACACUAACUGAUCACAUGAUCAAUUAGUCAAAGAAAUUCGGUCAAAGAUGGACUCGCGGCUGAUUAGCUAGUUGGUGAGGUAACGGCCCACCAAGGCGACGAUCAGUAGCCGGCCUGAGAGGGUGAUCGGCCACAUUGGAACUGAGACACGGUCCAAACUCCUACGGGAAGCAGCAGUGGGGAAUAUUGCACAAUGGGGGAAACCCUGAUGCAGCGACGCCGCGUGAGCGAAGAAGGCCUUCGGGUCGUAAAGCUCUUUUAUGAGGGAAGAUAAUGACGGUACCUCAAGAAAAAGCCCCGGCUAACUACGUG